This 25720-nucleotide long non-coding RNA is filed under the name Brassica napus (rape). Its description in RNAcentral is "long non-coding RNA (BNAP_LNC004913)". Lineage: Eukaryota; Viridiplantae; Streptophyta; Magnoliopsida; Brassicales; Brassicaceae. The record is from RNAcentral.
UUAUAAACUGGAAAGAUUCGCCGUCAUGCAUGUUGUUGCUUAGCCUAAUCUUUCUUAGUUCUCCAUCGCUGAUAGGCUUGUAUAGACGUGGAUGUUCAGCAUCCACAAAUUCACUUGGAGGCUCAACAACUUCAUCCAUUGGUGUUAAUAGGAAGGUGGAGGUGGUAAUCCUCAUUUUUGCUUCUUUGCAUUGCACUCUAUGCUUCACAUUGCACAUCCUCCCAUUGCUCCAUAUCUAUUAAGAAAGUUUCAAAAACCAACAGCUAAAACCGAGUUUUUGUGGUUUAAAGUCAAAACAUUAUUGAACUAUUAGUGAUGAUUUUUUUCUCUUACCUUAGCUAUGUCACCAAGGUUGACAGUAAGUGUGUUUGGUGACGUGUUUAUGGGGUAAUAGGUUCCUGAAGAAUGGUCCAUGGCCUCAAGUCCACCAACAUUGUCAUCACCGUGAACAAUUGUUAAAAAUCCAGGAUCCGUGUGUGUUAUCAAACCAUUUUUACCAACUGUUUCAGGAUUGAAAUGAUAUUUGCUAAUCCGAAACUGGCUCGGCCAUUCUUUGCAUAUAUCGGGAUCCGCUAAUUCAUAACUCCUUGCUAACAUCCUUGUUAAAUCUUUUGCAAGACCAUCCAUAGCUUUGCCAUACUUCACCAUGAUCUCUCUACAACCAAAAAAAGAAAAGAAAAAUCCCAUCAUAAACCGGAUAUUUAUUUAACAAAAACAUUGAACCGAAAAGCGGAUUAGGUACAAACAUAACAAGAAUCCUUGGAGGCAAAAAUAAUAAAAACAAACAUACAGGAACAGAGAAAUACUAUUUGCUAUUUAAAUAUAGAGAAAAUAGAGAUUACUAUUUUUGUAAAAAAAAAUGGUUUGAAGUAGAGUUAUUAUAUAGUUAAAUAUAGAGAUGCACUAGAAAUGUUAUAAACGACAGUCGUAUAAGAGUGAAAAGCAAACGAACCUUUGUUCAGCAGAGGCCUCAAGUUUGUCACAAAAAGUGUUAAUCGCUUGUGGAGAGGCGACGUCAAAAAGACCGAACGAUUCAUAAAGAGGAUUUAACUCACUUCUAGGCUUGUAACCACUUGAUAGUAUCACAUCAGUGUUUCGUAUUUUCACCUCGUGUGGACGUUCAUGGAGAUCUGUAACAGUCUUCUUCAUCUCAGACAACAAAGACGAAGAAACUCCAUGGUUGAUCACCUUGAAACAUCCCCAUCUCUCACUCGCCUCACGUAUCCGCUGGUUCAGCUUCUCAUCCGGAACCCCUUUCAACUCUAUUGUCGGAAUGACUUCAUUGAGAUCAGCCAUUAUGUUUUCUCUCAGUAAGUAUAUAUAUGAUAGGUAUUGUUUUCUUUGUCUUCAGGACAAGCCAUUGCACAAACUUAAAUAGAAGACCAUCCUCCGCGAGAAGGACGUAAUUAAUGAUGUACAGGAUUUGCCUUCUGCACCAAAAAGAUUUAUUUGUCUGAUCUCUUUCCUAAUCUAAUCAGUGAGGUAGUUGGAUUCGUGAUGGGACUUUCAGCAAAUCAGAGGAAAAAUGUUUAUAAAUCUGUAUGAUCGUAACUAAAUGAUGAAUAAGUGUCCAAAAAAGGGAAGAACGUGAAACACGUGACAGAUAAUAAUAUCAUACUAGGUAAUUAUUGAAUCACAAGGUUUAAUAAGAAGUCCUUCUCUUAUUCAAUAUCAAAGCUCAAUCAAGCAAUCACAAUCACAAAAUCACAAGUCAAUCUCAUCACACGAUAUUGUCUAUUUAUAUCACAUAGACAAUAUCCUAUUCCUAGUUGAUAAGCCUCAAUAUAUUAUGAUCAUUAUCCAAACUCACAAAUCAUAAUUCAACUAGGAAAACAUAUAACUUGUCUCUCAAGGUUUCUUCAAGCUAACUCCAACAUACUCCCCCUUAAGCUUGAACUCACUCACAUCUUUAAUUCCAAUCAAACUUCUCAUUUGCACGAACUUAGUCCUUCCAAACGGCUUGGUCAGUAUGUCGGCUUUCUGCUCACUGCCAGGUACAUGCUCAACCUCAACCUGUUCAUUCUCAACGCAUUCUCGUAUAAAAUGGAACCUCCUAUGUAUGUGUUUACUUCGGCCGUGAAACACAGGAUUCCUUGCAAGUUGUAUCGCAGAUUUGUUGUCAACUCUAAUGACCACCCGUAUGCAAGCUUCAUUCAUGACUUCACUCAGCAACUCUUCAAGCCACACGGCUUGUUUUGCAGCUUCAGUAGCCGCCAUAAACUCUGCUUCACAGCUCGACAAAGCCACUAUCUCUUGCUUGGUAGAGCACCAGGUUAUAGGACUGUUUCCUAAGUAAAAGAUAUGCCCACUCGUGCUCUUACCAUCAUCUAUAUCCAGGUUAUGCGAGCUGUCACUGUAACCAACCAGUUUCACAUCCUUUUCCCGAUAGAAUCGCAGUCCAAGAUCACAUGUGCCCCGUAAGUACCUUAAGACUUGUUUCAAUGCGGCUCCGUGAGAUUCUUUUGGCUCCUGCAUAUACCUGCUUAGUACACCAACACUGAAGGAUAGGUCUGGACGUGUGUGUAGCAAAUAUCGCAGACAGCCAAUACUGCGACGGUAAGCCUUCUCGUCAACUUUCUUCUCAUCUGAUGCUUUAGACAGGCUUAAGUUCAUCUCCAUAGGUAUGUGUGUAUGGUUACACGAAGCCAUGCCUGUCUCCUCUAGUAUCUUCAGUGCAUAUCGGUUUUGUUUCAAAGUAAUUCCAUUUUCUUCUUGGCAAACUUCUAUACCUAAGUAGUAAGUCAACAUCCCAAGAUCACUCAUUUCAAAUUUGGUGGCCAUCUCUUGUUUAAACUCUUCUAUCAGUUCAAGUGAUGAUCCCGUAACCAGCAAGUCAUCUACGUAUACGACUACAAGAAGAGGAUUGUUGCAUACUUCCUUCCGAUAAAGCGAUGGCUCCUUCAAGCAUCGAUGGAACUUCAGACCUUGCACUAAUAUGCGAUUUAACUUCAGAUUCCAAGCUCUUGGCGCUUGACGCAGGCCGUAAAGAGCCUUCUUAAGUUUGUAUACCUUGCUUUCGUGGUUUUUGACAACAAACCCUUGUGGCUGACUCACAUAUACUUCUUCUCUCAGGUCACCAUGAAGGAACGCGGUUUUGACGUCUAGAUGGUGUAUCAUCCAACCUUUUGAAGCAGCUAACCCAAUAAUCAGACGUAUAGUCUCAAUACGAGCCACAGGAGCGAAGACCUCAUCAUAAUCAAUGCCAUGUUUUUGCACAUACCCUUUUGCUACCAAACGAGCCUUGAACUUAUUAAUGCUUCCAUCUGCGUUUCGCUUGACCUUAAAGACCCACUUGAGACCAAUCGGCUUAGCUCCUGUAGGUAAGUCAACGAGAUCCCAAGUUUUAUUCUUCUCUAUCGAACUGAUCUCGUCUUUACAUGCAUCUACCCACACCUUUAGCCUCUUAGCUUCAUCAUAAUCCCACGGUUCUUCAUUUACUAUCAUCAACAGCCGUUCACUUUCGAUCUCACACAUCAAGAUGUAGUCCUCAAGGUAGGCGGGUUUUGUACUUACACGCUGUGAUCUCCUUGGUUGUUGAUGAUCAUCAUCUUCGCUGGAGCUUUCAUCAUGAGCUGAUUCACUGUCGUUCUCCUCUGCUACUGCCGUUUCAUCAAUUUCACCGACUGCAUUGUCUUCAUUACCAUCAGUAUUGCCAUUUGAUCCAAGGUUCACAAUAAAUUCCCCAGGCUCUGUGUGCUCUGUUUCAUCUUUCUCGUACCAGUUCCAUUCCUUUUCCUCAUUGAAGUGGACAUCACGGCUCACACGUAUCUUCUUUGUACUAGGGUCGAGCAAGCUAUAUGCUUUUGACCCUGGUUCAGUUCCCAAGUGGACCAGUUUUCUCGAUCUAUCAUCAAGCUUUCUCCUUCCUGGUGUUUCUGUUCUCUCAUAACACACGCAUCCAAACACCUUGAUAUGGCUAACAUUUGGUUUUCGUGAUCGUAGCAUCUCGUACGGAGUCUUGCCAUCCAAAGUCUUUGUUGCCAGUCGAUUGAUCAGAUAUGUGGAGUGUCUCACAGCUUCACCCCAUAGCUCGUUUGGAACAUUCAUAUGUUUUAACAAACUCCUUGUCAUCUCCAGAAGUGUGCGAUUGCGUCUCUCGACAACGCCAUUUUGCUGAGGGGAGUACGGUGCUGUCAAGUGUCGUUGGAUGCCAUUAGUUUCACAGUAGACACUGAACUCUUGAGAUAUAAACUCUCCCCCCCUGUCUGUUCUCAACAUCUUGAUUCGGUUUUGUGUUUCUAGCUCGAUCAUCCUUUUAAAGCUUUUAAACUUCUCAAAUGCCUCACGUUUUUCUCUUAGUAACACGGUCCACAUAUACCGUGUGUGAUCAUCAAUAAGCACCAGUACGUAUCUCUUUUGAGCAGGUGUUGACGGUGAUAUUGGACCACACAAAUCUCCAUGAAUCAGCUCAAGUGGACUCGAUGCACGGAAAUUUGUUGCUUGUGGGAAAGGUUUUCUUGCUUGCUUUCCAAGUAAGCAGGACUCACAGGUUUCUUUCUUGAUCGCAACAUUCGGUAAUCCAUCAACAAAGUCCCUUUUCACCAUUAGCUUCAGUGUUUGGAGAUUAACAUGUCCAAGUCGAGCAUGCCAUAAGCUUGACUAUGUUGCAGAUUUUAUUUGCAGACAUUGAACUGUAUCAACAGACAAAACUACCUUGUAGAGCCGGCUUGGAGAUCGUGUAGUCUGGACCAUGAGCUCUCCAUGCUUAUCAAACAAGCUAAGUGUGUUGUUUUUCAUACGAACCUCACAACCCACCUCAGUGGCUUGUCCCAAGCUGAUAAUAUUGCUCUUUAGGCCAGGGAUGUAGUAAACAUUGCUCAAGAUCUUCUUCUCUCCUCCUUCAAAAACAAAGCGUGUAGAUCCCUUACCUCUUAUAUCAAUUCGAGAAUCGUCACCAAACCUUACUUUCCCGGUCACAGUUUCAUCAAGUUUGAUGAAAAACAAUCGUUCUCCACACAUAUGGUUUGAAGCUCCAUUGUCAAGGUACCAUACCUUUUCUGUAUCAUGACUAGAUUCAAAUAUAGAAGGAUUUACCUUCCUCUCAUUGAGAUAAACUAUCUCAUGUACCAUUAAUUCAUCAGCUUCCUCAGUGUCAUCAUCCUUUUUUCCAACAUUCUCUUGGACUUGCAGCAGUUUAUCUGGACAAUCACUAGCAUAGUGACCCUGUUUGUCGCAGCUAAAGCAUGUUAUAUGAGAGUUAUCUCUGCCUCGACCUUGCUUAUACGCAUCUCUUUGAGCAGAGAACGUUCCAGCACGGCCACGGCCUCUACCUCUCCAUGUAGAACGUCCGCCACGUCGCCUGCCUCUGCCAUAUGACUCAGAGCUUGCGUACAUCAGUUUGUCUUUAUCAUCUUGUGCGCUUUCUUCUUCAUCUUCUUCAUUGAUCCUUUCUUCAAAGGCCUUUAACCGACCAACAAUAUCCUCAAAAGUUGUUGUGUUGAGAUCCAAAAACUGUUCUAGAGAAGCAACCAUGUGAAUAUAGCUCUUCCUAGGUAAGCUUUUGAGAAAUUUCUUCACAAGCUUUGUCUCUUCCAUUAUCAUUCCCAAAGAUGCAGCCUUUGAUGAGAUUUCCGAUAGUUUACCAGAGAAUGUAUCAAUAGUAUCUUCAUCUUUCAUCUUCAGUUUAUCAAACUCCACCAUUAGAGUUUGGAGUCUAGCCUCCUUUACCCUCUCAGCCCCAACAUACCUAGCUUUUAUUGCCUCCCAUACUUCCUUUGCUGUCGACAUGUCGCCAACUUGGAGAGUCAAUACUUCAGGUAUAGAUUGGCAUAUGAGUACCAUAGCUAGGUUAUUCUUCUUCUCAUCUUUGUUUCCCGGAUCAAUUGUUUCCCAUACUUCAUUAACCUUAAGUGCUAGCUUCAUUCUCAUGGACCAGACGGUAUAGUUUGAAGAAGUUAACAUUGGGUAUUUGAUAGAGGAUGUUCCAAUACCUUUAGUCGCCAUUGUUUCUUCUUUUACAUCUGCCAUGUUUGUUGAACUUAGUUCUCAAGCUUUAAACCCUUAAAGCUCUGAUACCACGUAUUGAAUCACAAGGUUUAAUAAGAAGUCCUUCUCUUAUUCAAUAUCAAAGCUCAAUCAAGCAAUCACAAUCACAAAAUCACAAGUCAAUCUCAUCACACGAUAUUGUCUAUUUAUAUCACAUAGACAAUAUCCUAUUCCUAGUUGAUAAGCCUCAAUAUAUUAUGAUCAUUAUCCAAACUCACAAAUCAUAAUUCAACUAGGAAAACAUAUAACUUGUCUCUCAAGGUUUCUUCAAGCUAACUCCAACAGUAAUAACCCGUGCUUUGCGCAGAUGUGAUUAUUAGUUUUUUUAUUUUUAAUAAAAAAACAUUAAAUCUGUUUAAUCUGGAUAUUGGUUCGGUUUUAAAUUUUUUUUUUUGGUUUUUAAUUUUCUAAAAUAUAACUAUUAGUUUUAAUUAAUAUUUAUUUUAGUUUAUUCGGUUAAAAUGUUUGAUUUUUUGGUAUUUUCUAAUAAAAACCAAAAAUUAAUAUUAUUUUUUUAUUUUCAUGUUAUGAAUUUUAGAUAGUCAUUAUGUCGAACCAAUAAUUUCAUAUUAUAGUUUUUAAACAGAUACUAAUUUAAUAAUAAUAAAAAUUAUUAAGACAAAUCAUUUCACUACAGUUUGGUAAAUAGUGAAAGAAGCAUUAAGAAAAAAUAUUUCAACUUUCGAAAAACUAGAUACUUCAGUUAUGGUGAAUACUUAGUUACAAGAUGCUCACAUCAAGAAGCACAUGUAUGUGUAUGUAAAAAGUAUAUAAAAAUAGUUGACAAAUAUAUUAAUAUAUUGUUAAUUAAUAUUAAAUGAUAUUUUUGUUCAAAAUAAUACAUGAAAGAUAAAAUUAAAAUUAAUUUAAAAUAAAAAAGGCCUUGACAUUAGUCAUUUUUCAUAUAAAGAAAAUAAUAUUGUAUCCGUAAAUAGGGGUGAGCACAUAUCGAAUAUCUGGGUAUUUGAAAACAUUCGUGUUGAUUCGAUCUUUAGCCACCUAGAUAUUUGGUGACUCGAAUAUACGAAAUAUUUUAGAAUUUUAAAGAAUAUCCAAUUUGAUCCGUAAAUAAAAUAAAAUUUUAAAAAUAAUUGAAUUUUAAUAAUAACAAUUUAUUACAAAAUAAAGCAUUAUUUAAUUUUUUUAAUUCUAGUACCUAAUAUAAUGUAUUUAAUUCAUACAAAUAUUGUCAAGUUGAUAUAAAGUAUAAUAUAUAUAACAUAUAUAUAUAUAAUUCUUUACAUAUAUGUAUAUAUAUAUAUAUGCAUAUAUCAGAUCGAAUUAAAUAUAUGUUCUUAAAAAUAUUGGUAUUUGUGAUUUGCUUCUUUUUUGGUUAUUAUAUUUUAGUAUUUGAUUUGUUUCGUAGAGUUACGGAUAUCCAGAUUUUUUUGUUCAAAUCAAAACGGAGAACGAAUCGAAUCAAAAUUUAUGAAUAUUUUGCUCAACUUUAUUCGUAAACAAAUAAAAAUAAUAUAUAUAUAUAAUUUGGCUUUUGAUUCAUUAUCUAUUUUUAUUCGAACCGAAAAAUCAAGAGUUUUAUUGGAACCAUGUAUGUGAGUUUUAUACUAUAAAAGUGUAAAAUACAUAGUGUGAACACAUUUAUAAAUAUAGUGUGUACGCGUUAGGAUACUUAUUAUCAAAUCAUUGUGAAGUGUCACAUGUUUAUUAUAGUGUGAAUGCAUUUAUUACAAUGCUUCUCUUUUAAUAUAUAUAAGGUAAUAAUUCACGCCUUGCGCAAAAUGUGAUUAUUAGUUUUGUUAUUUUUAAUAAAAAAAACAUUAAAUCUGUUUAAUCUGGAUAUUGGUUCGGUUUUAAGUUUUUUUCUCGUUUUUAAUCUUCUAAAAUAGAACUAUUAUUUUAAAUUACUAUUUAUUUUAGUUUAUUCGAUUAAAAUGUUUGAUUUUUUGGUUUUUUCGGGUAAAAACCAAAAACUAAUAUUAUUUAUUUAUUUUCAUGUUAUGAAUUUUAGAUAGUCGUCAUGUGGAACCAAUAGUUUCAUAUUAUAGUUUUUAAACAGAUACUAAUUUAAUAAAAAAAAAUAUUAAGACAAAUCAUGUCAUUACAAUUUGGUCGAUAGUGAAAGAAGCAUUAAGAAAAAAUAUUUAAACUUUUAAAAAACUAGAUACUUCAGUUGUGGUGAAUACUUAGUUACAAGAUGCUCACAUCAAGGUGCACAUGUAUGUGUAUGUAAAAAUUUUAUAAAAAUAGUUGACAAAUAUAUAAAGAUAUUGUUAAUUAAUAUUAAAUACCAUUUUUGUUCAAAAUAAUACAUGAAAGAUAAAAUUAAAAUUAAUUUAAAAUAAAAAGACCUUGACAUUAGUCAUUUUUUAUAUAAAGAAAAUAAAAUUGUAUUCAUAAAUAGGGAUGGGCACAGAUCAAAUAUCUGGGUAUUUGGAUGCAUUCAUGUCGAUUCGAUCCUUAGCCACCUAGAUAUUCGGUGACUCGGAUAUCCGAAAUGUUUUAGAUUUGAUCCGUAAAUAAAAUAAAAUUUUCAAAAUAAUUGAAAAAUUUAUUAAUAACAUUUUAUUACAAAAAUAAAACAUUAUUUAAUUUUUUAAAUUCUAGUACUAAUAUAAUAAAUUUAAUUCACAAAAAUAUUGUAAAACUUAUAUAAAGUAUAAUAUAUAUAACAUAUAUAUAUAUAUAUAUAAUUCCUUACAUAUAUAUAUAUGCAUUUAACAGAUUGAAUUAGAUAUGUGUUCCUAAAAAUAUUGGUAUUUGUGUUUUGCUUAUUUUUUUGGAUAUUGUAUUUUAGUAUUUGAUUUGUUUCGUACGAAUAUCUAUAUUUUUUUGUUCAAAUCAAAACGAAUAACGAAUCGAAUCAAAAUUUAUGAAUAUUUUGUUCAACUUUAUCUGUAAACAAUAAAAAUAAAUGACGUUGCUAUAUUUAUUUUUCACAAUAAAUAUUGAAAUAGAUUAAAGAAAGUUAUUCCCCUAUUAACUAUUUCACCGGGAAUUUUAUAUUGUAAUAAGGUAAGUCAUUACAAACGAAUUAAGAAUUUAGAAACAUUAAGGUAAAUUGGCAUUUAAAAUUUUAAUAAAUGUGAUAAUAACUUGGGCAAGAAAUGUUUAAAAUAAAUAAGGUAACUUACAUUUAAACUAUUCAUAAGUUACUUUGCAACUUGCGCAAGAAAAAAAAUUUUUUUCAUAAGUUAUUUUGCAAAAUAAAUAAGGUAACUUACAUUUAAACUAUUCAUAAGUUAUUUUAAAAUUCUGAUAAAUUUAUUCUUUAAACAACGAUAAAUAAUUUAAAAAUAAUAUUAAUAAACAUGUUUGGAUUUUGUUAUAUUUAAAAUAGUUAUUAUAUAAUUAUAUUCAAAUACAAUUCCUCAAGUAGAGUAUAAAACUAUUAUAAUUAUCUUAUAUAAAAUUUCGUUCAUUAUAUUUUAUAGUUUAUAAAUAUUGAAAGUGAUAAAUAAAACAUUAUUAAUCUUUCUAUAAUUUCGAGAAUUAGUUUCCAUAAAUUGUUAUUUGUAAUAUUUUUUAUAUUAUAUAACAAGUGAUGUUAAAUUAUUUUAGACUUACCUUAAAUUUUUAUAUCUAAAUUAAAUAAAUAAAAAUUAAGAACAAUCGACCAAUCAAAUUAUAACAAUUAAAUUGAAACUUCACCCUAUGAGUGACACGUCACCAGAAAUCACUAAAGUGACUUCUCUUUUAAUAUAUAGGGGAUGAUUUAUAUAGUUUCCUUUCUUCCAUUAACUAAAGUGUAAAAGCGAAAACUUUACUCUUUAACCUUUUGAAAUCUAUCUGAGCUCGGAGAAUUCUCCGGUAAAUAUCGCCGGUGCGGUUACGAUCGAUUGUCACUAGUCGAUGCUCGUCAGAGAGACGAAUUAGCUGAUGGUACCGAUGAGUCAACUCGCGAGCCGUAAUUAGGAAAUUCGGUAAUCUGGAGAAGAUGAGCACGUGACUAGCACGUGGAAAAUUUAAUACUUUAUCUUUAUAAUUAAGCCCUUCAACUAUUGAUUAGAUUUGAUUAUGUUCCCCCAUGAUACAAUUAUAGUAUUCAACUACCACACGGGUGUUGUAAAAUAAAUAAGGAUCUGAUGUUCUUCUUCUUCGUUUAUAUAUGAAGGUUGAUCCAUGGAGAGAGAGAUAUGAGAUAUUGACUUUUAUAAUAUAUGUAUGUAUUACGUGAGAGAGAGUUAAAAGAUGAGUCUUUUUCUUCUUAUUAACUUCACCUUCACCUUCACGUUGGACCGGGCUUUCUCUCUCUUUUAAAAAUUCUCUCGCCUCUCUCUUCCCCUAAUUUAGGGUUUUCGCCGUUUCUCACCGUUUUCCGGCGGUCGCCGCGUGCCGUUUAAGGCGACCGCCGGACCCCCUCUCGUUUUUUUUCUUUUCUUUUACUUGUCUUCUCCGUCUCUCUCCCUCGUAUGUCCUCGUCUUCUUCGGCUUCCUGAAUUUCGUCGUCGGUUUCUUGUUCGGUUUAGAUCUGGAUCUUUCUCUUGCUUAUGGGUCAGGCCGUCGUGUGUUGCAGCGCUUGAGGACUGCGUCUGCACCUCAACGGCUCUGUGUCUUCGGCAUAGGGGGAGCUCUGGCUGACAAGGUUUUCCAGCUUGACGCGUAUCGGGUUGAGUGUUGGAGCAUGGUGGUAAUGAGAUCCCGAUUCGUCCUCUGUCAGAUCCACUUGUUUGGUUGCGCGGCGGUGGUGUUUGAUGGGUCGUUCUCGGGUUGAGCUUCAGACUGCGCGGUUCUUGAGCUUCUUAUCUCUUCUUCCUGCUGGUGAUCUCUGGUGGGCGCGUGUGAGUGUGACGGUCCUUGGUCUUCCCGACUCCGGCAUGCUCAGGUGAGAACGCGCGUGGACGCGGUGGCGCGUGUGGCGACGCGUACGACAGCGCGAGUGGCAGCGCGUGUGUCCGGCGAGAUCUUCAUUUUCGCUGCUUCUUAGCAGUGGCUCCGGUUUACCGGUGUGGGUUCCUGGCCUCGUCCUUGGUGCUGCUUAUCUCCUUCACUCUCAAUAAAGUAAACGGUUUUUGGUCAUCUCGUAUGGUGUUGUGGACCCUGCCUGUCUAGCCGAGCGGCAGUUGGACAUUCGACCCGCUCUCUCUCCUGCGGUGUGCCUCCGGAGGGUUAGUUACUUGGCGGUCCGCUCUCUCUAUAUGAGAUUUCGGUUCAAUGGGUGUAACGGUCACGGCGGAGUGGAUUGGAGGCGGCAAUCUUCAGGACGCUUCUCCGAACGACGACAUCGUCGCUAGGUGGUUUUCUCUCGUGCCGUCGGACGUAUACUGUCGGGUGCUUUGGUGUGUGUUCGUGCUUGGAUUCUUGGUCCGUUUCAGGGUUUAGGUGGGGUUUUCGGAAGCUGCAGGAGCCGUAGCAUCAAGGUUUGAGGGCGCCUUUCUCUCGGUAGCUCGUGGUGCCCGGUGCUCGACCUCGACCAGUUCCGGUUUCUUUGGUCUGAGCUUGUCUCGUUGCUUAGCUGGUUGUAAGGCUUUGUUCCGCUCUCUUUCGAGCUGCGUCAGUUUCCGUUUCGUUUUGUUGUUUAGUUUAUUUUCGGUUCUCCGCUACAAGUUGUCUUUGUAUCUUCUGUCACAAAUCUGAAAAUUGGUAUAAUAAUUUAACAUUUUACCAAAAAAAAAAAAAAAAAAACGUAAUCUCCCUCUGAGAAUAGUGGACCUAGCUUUCUUGUCACAGGUCACGCAUAUGCCGCAUUCCGAUACCAUAAAAGUGUUUUCGAAAUGUUGUAGUCGGAAGAGUUUUUGUAAACAAGGCAGCCGGAUUGUCGCAUGACCGUACAUACUCGAUGUCCACCUCUUUAUUUUUCUCGAGCUCCCUUAUGUACGAGAAAAAUCUUGGAGGGAUGUGCUUUGUUCUGUCACUUUUGAUGUAGCCUUCUUUGAGUUGAGCAACACAAGCCGAGUUGUCUUCAAAUAUUUUUGUCGGCUUUUUCUCGUUGACUACUCAGUUUGAUUCUUGUAUGUGGUGACUCAUUAACUGAAGCCACACACAUUCUCGACAUGCUUCGUGAAGCGCAAUAGUCUUUGUAUGAUUCGAAGAUGUCGCAACCAAAUUUUGUUUCUGGGACCGCCAAGAGAUCACGGUUCCACCAAGUUGUAAAACCAUAUCCGGUUUGCACUCGACUUUAUAAAUAGCAUGUAUCUGCAAAACCAUACCAAACUCGGGGUUUCUAGGAUAAACCAAUUCUGAAUCAAUACGUACCUUGGAGAGAACUGACAUGUUCUCGACGCCACUCUAAUUUCCAUAAAUAGGAAAUGAGAUGUAUCUUGCAAAGACAUUAGUGUCUAAACGUAUAUUUAAUCAAAUACAACUCGCAAGAUAUAUAAGCUCACAUAUGCUUUAUUACCAUUAGCAUCUCCAAAGUACUUAUUUAUAUAAGAUCUUACCAGGAUCUUUUAAACAUCUCUUUAAACAUCGAGAGAUCUAUCUACUAUUGAAGUACUCAAAGGAGUCGCUUUAUUCAUACAAAAGCGUUUUAAUAACCUUUUUGUAUAGUUUGAUUGAUGCACAAAUAUUCUUUCUCGGAAAUGCUCUAUCUGGAGCCCAAGACAAAACUUUGUCUUGCCGAGAUCUUUCAUUUCGAACUCCUCUUUCAUAUGAGUUCGAGCAUCAUCAACCUUCUUUUGAGUUCCAAUUAUGUUCAGGUCAUCUAUAUAUACAACAAUGAUCACAAAACCAGAUGACGAUUUCUUUAUAGAAACGCAUGGACAUAUCGCAUUAUUAACAUAUCCCUUUUUCAAGAUAUAUUCACUUAAGCGAUUGUACCACAUGCGUCCGGAUUGCUUUAAUCCUUAUAGUGAUCGCUGUAACUUGACCGAACAAAUCUCCCCGGAUUUUUCUUUCAAUGCUUCUUGCAUUUUCAAUCCCUCAGGGAGCUUCAUAUAUAUAUCGUUAUCCAACGAUCCAUACAAAUAUGCAGUCACAACGUCCAUGAGAUGCAUUUCAAGAUUUUUAGACGCCGUUAGGCUCAUCAAAAAUCUAAACGUAAUUGCAUCCAUUACAUUAGCAUCAGGUUCUCUUUGAACCUUUCCACUUAUGUCUUCUUUCAGACAUUUUUUACUAUCAAGUUCUUCAGGAACUUUGCAACUUUUCUUAACCAAUUUCUUUCGGGGGUUUUUUAUCUCUAGAACCCGCUAGUCUCCCCCUCUUUAACUGAACCCUAGGUUCAUUUUAUUUCCAUCAGUUUGUUCUUUAGGAACAUCAACUCUUGAUGGAAUAUUUUCAGCGGGUAUAUCAUAUCGUAUUUGUGAACACAUUUGGUAACUGGUUUGUCAAAUUAUGCAAGUGCACAAUUUUUUGAACUUCCAGCUCUCUUUGAUUUGUAGGGGGACCAAAGUGCAACAACGAAUGUGUACACCAUGUAAUUUAUUUAGGAAUUUCUCAAAUUCCUCCCCUAACGCUGGAAUUCAUUCUCAUUAAAAUGACAAUUGGCAAAUAGUACCGUAAACAUAUCACCAGUUACUGGUUCAAGAUACCUUAUAUACGGCUUGCUCUAACUCUUCUAGAGUUUUAUACAUUCCCGAGAGCAUCUUUAACUCUCCAGGGACUACUAAAUAUCAAGAUGCAACUCAAGUCGUUUUUGUCCUGCCAGACAUUUCAAUAUAUUGCAUCUAUUUUAAAUUUUCUCCAGUGACCUUGGAACAAGCCGUUUUUCAUACCUCAAGGUCAUCUUUUAUUUCAUUCUUUGGAGAAAUAUAUACCUUGGACUUUUGGUCCAAAAAUCUCUCGUUUUUCUAACGAGCUUUAUAUCGAAUUGAUGGCCAAUCAAUUCACUCUACCCUCAUACAUUGAGGUAGAUUCAUAAGCCUUAUUUAUAGCGCUUUUUCAUUUAUUUAUUAUCGACAAUCUAUUUUCUCUUUGGUUCCAUCUUUUUAUCCGUACUGAUAUGGUUAAUCGAGAUCUCUUUAUCAUCAUUGAUGAUUUACCCAGGUACCUGACUGUUAUAUUAACCAUAUCAACGGUCUCAUCAUGAGAUUCAUCCUCUAUUUAUAUUUUUGCUCCUUUUCGAGGACUCUUUGGAACCAAAGUGGUAUAUCACGUCUCUAGCAUGCCAUAGACUCAUAUAUCGUCCGUUUAGGACACUAUUUUUUUUAUUGGAGCAUUUUCAGCUGGAAUAUGAGAUUUCAUUAUUUCAUCAAAAUGUCUGGCAGGCAUUUUGGAAAUGGAUUAUCCUACUUUUCGUUGUAAUUCAUUUCACAUAUCUCAUUCCAUCAGCUUAUCAUAUGCUUCUAGCAAACUUGCGAGCAUAUUUCUAAGUAUCCAUAUACUUUAUCCCUCUGGAUUGUAUAUGUCUUUAUUACAUGCACAACUGCAUGUUUACACCCGAUCAUGGGGAUCAUCUUACUUGAAUUUACUUUAUCAAGUUCUUUUUCAAGUGCGAACAUAAUUUUUCAAUGUUCCACUCACUAGGAUUCUUUAAUUCUCCCCCUCGAGAUGAUGACACUCCAUGUCUAAAAUCUCGUACUGAAUCCCACUCUAGAACCAAUAACAUAUUCAGUUUUUCCAUUUGGGAUGAAUUAUGUUUCAAAUCCUUUAGAGUGAGAUCUUAAUUUGGGGUCUGCUUAAAGAAAUCACAUAUUGUGAACUUGUUUGAUGAUUCAUCACCCAUGAUGGUUUCCUUUAUUUUCUUGACAUGCUAUAUGUGAAAAACUUCUGGUUUUUCAACAUUUCACAAUAAUGUCGAUAACAUUAUUGGAGAUGGCUAUAUAUCAGUAAACUUCAGGUUUACCACUCAUUUAUAAUUUUGCCAUCUUUUUCUUAUGCAUGUCUUUUUAUCAUAAGCUCUUCUAGAGCCAAUAAUAUGUUUAUAUUACUAGAUACUAUACUUAUUUAAUUUGAAAGAGGAAAGAUAUUUGUUACCUUUAGUAGUCAUGACGAUGACCCAAUACCUGUCAGGUAUAUUUUUCUCCAUCCUGAAUCUCAAAAUCUUAUUCAGGAAAAUAAUUCUCAUUUCACAUCGAUAUUUUAUUUUCAUUUUCUGGACCAACCAGAAAAUCUGAAUCAUCAAGAUGAGUAUUCAAGCUAUGAAAGAUGGUUCGGGCUCAUAAGAGACGAAGUUUAAUAUACUUCCUUUCUCUUUUUCUUUUUGAUUCUCGAUAUAGAUCGGCUAAAUAUUUGGCAUACGACAACUACGUACCCAAUUUUCUUUCUAGCCGUAUCUAUAGCAAACCUUUUAUGUUUGCCUUUUAUCACCCGACCACUUUUAUUUUCGUGGAAGUUCUAACUAUUUCGCAUGGACGGAAUAUUCUUCCUCGUCCACUUCCACGACCACGAUAGGGGGUUUCAACCGUAUCUACACCCUCGUCCUUUUCUAAUAGGACCGACUUGAUGGUUUAGUAUCAUGAUUUCAUUUCCCUUAUUUUUAGUUUUCAAGGAGGAUUUUCAUCAACUCCAACUAUUUAUUGAAUCCUUUCUUUCAAGGAUUUAAUUAUUCAAAGAUCUUCUAGAUCUUUUUUCAUGAUACACCUCAUCUUAUAAACCAUCAUUAAAAUGGUGUAAAUUAUCAUGGCUUUAUCCUUUUCUCAUCCGAUAUUAGAUUAUAUCGAUGAUUUCUCAAAGCUCAUUUUCUCUCAGGUGCAUCUUUGCACCCACUGCCCAAGCCUUAUAAUUAUUUCUCGUAAUAUCAAGGGCAUUUAUUUUGAGCUUUGUCAAAAUUCACUUGAUAACAUUAUUCGUAGAAUAAUACUAUAAUAAAGACGAGAAUUUAAAUGCAUAAAUUAAAAGCAUAAAAUAAAUGCAUAAAUUAAAUUACAGAAAUUUAAAUAGCAUAAAUAAAAUCGGGAGGCUCAGCCUACCACAUGAUCCGAGGAGUCAUAGACUACCAUAUUGAUCAUUUUUCAAAGUCCGAGGAGACAUGGUCUACCAUUUUGACUUUAUUUAUUUUAAGGUCCGAGGAGACUUAGUCUACCAUUUUUGACUUUUUAUUCACGGAGGCAAAGCCUACCACGUGUUUCUCUGAUCGUGAAGGCAUAGCCUACCAUAACGAUCAGUCGGGGAAGGCAGCGCCUAUCAUCCCGAACGGAGAAGGUCCAGCCACUCACUCCGAAACAAUAAUAAAAUUUUAAUAAAUUAAGUGUAUUGAAAUACAUAAAUUUAAACAUUACCUCGGCUGGUUUGAGAACUUUCGGAUUGAUAAACUUCAGUUGGUCAGAGUCUCGUGCUGAUAACGUGUUGUAAAAUAAAUAAGGAUCUGAUGUUCUUCUUCUUCGUUUAUAUAUGAAGGUUGAUCCAUGGAGAGAGAGAUAUGAGAUAUUGACUUUUAUAAUAUAUGUAUGUAUUACGUGAGAGAGAGUUAAAAGAUGAGUCUUUUUCUUCUUAUUAACUUCACCUUUACAAAUGAACAUGAGAGCAAUAUAUAUAGGGGAAGAAGUCGGUUAGAUUGACCGACUUAAUACAAAAAGACAAGACAAGAUAUUUUGCUUAAUGGAUAAUCAUUAUCCAAAGUUAGUCUUAUUUCUAAGACAAGUGUCCAUUAGGUGGACAAUGGAUAAUCACAAUUCUUAACAACGGGAUGAUUAAUUGCCAAGUUUUUAGAAUAUAAAGUAGGGUACAAUUGAAAAAUAACUUUGUACUUUAUAACAUGAGCCAAUAUGGAAACCAUAAAACAAUCAUGUAAUUUUGAAAAGCAUAUCCAUAUUGUUGUAGCUCGAAAAAAAUAGUAUAAAUAAUCUACUCUAUUAAUUUAAAGUCCUACUUUUUAUCUACUUAAAAAUAUUGUCAUUUAAAUUUGGACUUAUUCACAUUUCAUUAGCAAUAGAUAUAACAUCCCUUAUAAUUUAGUUAUACAAUAUAUAUUUCAUUUAUGCAUUAUCUAAUAUAUAUAUAUAUAGAAACUUAUUUGGGAUCAAACUGUUAUAUAAGUCUCAAGAAAAAAAAUUAAGUGUUAUAUUUCAUUUUUCAACUUCUAAUAUUUCACAUCAAACAAAAAAAUCAGUUUUAUUAACAACGUAUGGUCUAACCAUUUUUCAUGAUGGGACUAAACCUAUACUAACCAAAAUCCUUUUAUUAAUCCUUUUAAACAUGAUUUUAAUUGUUUAGAUUACUUGUGGACAUUCUCAUGAUCAAAACAAAAACAACCAUUAUGUAUAAACUACAGUUGCAAGUUAGCUUUUAUGAGAAAUAAACUAUCUUAUAUACUUGUAAUCAAAAUAAAUAUGACCAAUGCUCAUAUGCAAACAAUCAUGGGCUUUGUUUAUAAUGUAAAAAAAUGAUAUUUUUAUUAAAUAUUUCAUAUGUUCUAGAUCUUUGUUUAUGAUGUGAAAUGUCAUCUAUUAAUUAAUAUAUAUUUAUACUAAUUUUAUCCAGAUAAAUAUAUAUCCAUCAAUCCAAAUAAUUUUUAAAAUAGGAUGUCAAUAAUAUAUUUAGUAACAAGAAAUUAUUUUUACUAAAUCUUAACAUUGUAUUCAAAAAUCAAAAAAAAAUUGAAAAUAUUUUUGGUUGACAAAUAAUAAUUUAUUAGAAUAUUCUCCCUAUAUAUUCUUUGAAACUUCUAAAUCUGAAUAUUUUUUUAAUUAAGAUAACUAGGGGGUUUUCCGGGCUACGCCCGGAUUUUUUCUAUAAUAUUAGUUUAAUUUUUAUAUUUAUAUUUAAAAACGAACAAAUAUGAUAUAUACUGAAACUUGUUAUAGAAUUAUAAACAUAAAUGCAAAUUUAAAACUAUUUGAAAUAAUUUAUUGUGUUUUAUUGGUGUUUUAUGUUGGAUAUUAGUAAGAUUAUUAAAAAGUUUAACUAAAUUAUAAGUUAAGAUCUAUAUAUAUAUAUUCUUUAUCUUGGUUAUUUCUUUUUAUGUAAAACAAUUGUACAGCUUAUAAUUAGUACUGUAUAAAUUUUGAUUGGUUUUAAAAUUAUUAAGUUUCAUUUUUGUACUUGUCUUUAAAAGAAAGUACCACCGAUUUGUAUACCGUUUCUUUAUUUGUUGUCUUCAAUUUAUCGUUUUAACCAAAACAAUUUUGUCAACCUUCUUAACCAAAAUUUAAAUUAACAUUUAUUGUUGCUAUUUAAUUUCUUUGUUUUUUUUUUAAGUUUGUUUGUGAUAGAAAGAAAAUUUUGCUUCAUGAUUUGAAAUAUUUUUAGUUGUAAAUUUAUAGAAGGUUUACUUUCUUACCGUUGUUGAUGUAAUAUUAAUUUAACAGUUUCUUGUUUUAAUUAUUUAAUUAAUCAGAUUUUUUGGAAAUAAUUUUGAAUGUUAAUACUAUUAUUUUUCUGUUUGCUGGAUAGUGUUUGUGUGCUCGGUCAUCCCUUUAUGCAAGGCUGAGAUACUUGCUCAAACAUGGUUUUGAAUGACCUUUCGAAAACAGGUAUGAGUGAAGACUUCAAACCUAACUUAAAAGCUUUUUGAAAUUUAUAAAUGGUAGAUAUAUACAAAAAUUAUCACUGUCUUAGGUCUGAAAUUAGGUUUUAAAUCAAAAAUUCUAAAGAACUCUUAACUUAAAUUUGAUUUAACACAUUGCAAGACAUUUUGUGUGUUUCUGAAAAUAAUUUAUAUACAAAAACGGUUUAAGAAUUCUAACUCCUACGGUUUGAUCAUGUCCUAUAAUCUGAGUUGCAAACCUAUAAACUGCAUUAUUUUUAUUCUCGUAUUUGCCUCACUUCUUUUUGUGUGUCAUGACCUUUUUUUUAGGUUCCAUGACCUUUGUCUAUGAUGCUUUGAUAGUAUUGUGUACAAACUCAAUAUUAAAUUUUACUUUAGUUAUACACAUUCUAAGUUAUUAUCCAGGCUACACAUGUUUAUAUUAAUAAUUUGUUUAUAAUAAUUUUUUUUUUGUCAGCAAACAAACAGACUCAUAUAGACUCUGUGAACCAAACUGGUAGCUCCGCAUCCAUGUAGACUACAAACGAGGGUUGUUUUCUUGCACUGCGUGCUAGACUAUCCGCCCUUGUGUUUAGCGUCCUUCGUAUAUGGAUGAGCUCUGAGCUGUGGAAACUUCUUUGCAGGAUCUUGAUAUCUUCUAAAUAACUUGCAAAUGCGGGCCAUUCUUCGGGUUCAGAAACCAUCUUCACCAACUGAGAACAAUCCGUCGCAAAAGUAACAUUAUAUUGUCUUAAGUUCCUCAUACAUUCCAUUGCCCAUAUGAGCGCCUCUAUCUCCGAGUGCAGUGGGGAUUGACCCGCUCUAGUAUUCCUUGCUCCCAUCAAACUGUCAAAACCUUCUAGAGUACUACACCAUCCUUGUCCCGAAAACCGAUCAUUUUCCUUCUAUGAACCAUCCGUGAAACACCAUCUACCGGAAAUAGUAGGCAAUGUCGCAUUCUCUACCAAUCAGGUCUGAUCAGAUCCCUGUAUAUUUUUAAUUUGCGCCUCAGCCCAGAGGGCCGAUUCUGUUUCCGCCAACUUGAGGGUAUCGCGGGGAUCAAUAUCCAAAUUGCUAAAAACCUUAUUGUUCCUUCCUUUCCAUAUAUACCAUAGGAUCCAUGCAAAAUGAUUAUCGUCCAUUGGUGGAGACACCCUCCAAAAUAAAUGAUCCAUAUUUGCAAAUAGUGAUUGCAGGGGAAAUAAAACUGGGUUUGACGGAAUCCGUGACAAUGCCCAAACCUGGAUUGCUGGAGGGCAUUCAAAAAAUACAUGAUUGAUGGACUCCUCAGGUGCUCCACAUCGUGCACAGAUCGUAUCCCCUUGAAUACCUCGAGACCUUAGAUUUUUCUUUACCGCUAUGCAACCUGUAACCAAUUGUCAAAGAAAAUGUUUUAACUUUGGUGGACAGCGCACUUUCCAACAUUGUGCUUUCAAUAAAGAAACUGAUGGGCCAUAUUCUGGUGGUGGCCUAACUUUGUCUGGAUACACUCGUUCCACCUCAUAUCCUGAUUUAACUGUAUAUCUCCCAUUCAUUGUAAAAUGCCAGCCAUCCCGAUCCGCUGUCCGAAACCGGCCUAACGGUAUACUCUCAAUUAUCUGCGCAUCAUUCGGGUCCACUAGAGUCCUGAUAACCUGUGAAUUCCAUGUUCUUGAUGUUUCAUCAAUAAGAGAAUCCACCGUGAGGUCCGGGAAAAGGUUGUGUUGAUUUUUGUUUGCUGGUCUCGGGCGGGUGGAUGGGAGCCAAGGAUCAUUCCAUACUGAAAUAGAUGAUCCUGAUCCCACCCUUUUGAUUAGUCCUUUGCUAACCAGAGAUCUAGCUGAGACAAUACUACGCCAGCCAUAAGAUGACGAGUAAGAUCUAAUUGGUUCCAGGGGUGAAGCAUUCCUGAAAUACCUUCCUUUGACAUCUUUUUCCCCAAAAAAAUUACUGUUUAAAUAAAAUAUGUUCUAUAAAUAUUGAAUAAUUUGAACACUAAUUGUUUUUGUUACAGGAUAUUAUUAUUAGCAUAUUGUUUACAGUUCCAUAAUCUUAAUAUAUGACUGCUGCUACUGAUGUUUAGAAGGACUAUGCUUUUGAUUUCAAAUUGCAAAAUUCUUGAUCCAUUGGUUAUAACAAAUUUGGUUUAGUGUCCUAAACUUUUGAGAGUUCCAAAUUUGGUUUAGUGUCCUAAACUUUUGAGAGUUCCAAAGAUGUGGACGUGGACACUCUAGAUGCUAUAGCUCAAUCCCUUUUCUAUAUUGGGAUUAUUAUCGAGCAGAGUAGCUAACAUUAAACUCUCGAGCUUCCAAUUGUACUUAAACUCUUAAUUUGCACAUGAUUAUAAGAAUAAGAUCAUCAAGAGUAGAAUCGAAGGAGUAUAAGCAGCAUAAGAUUGUGUAGACCAUAUAAACACAGCACCCAUGUGACCUGAGAUAAAGGAACAUAGACGACAACGGGCUCACCAAGUUCCUUAAGUGGCACAUGCCUUAAUUUUUUUUUAUCAGCACCAUUAACAUCAGUCGGUAAAUCUACGUUGAAGUUUGCAUCCUCUUGUCUUCUACUAUCAGGAAGAAUUGUUCACGUAUAUGAUGGAAGAAUGGCUGUUUAGAGUAGAUUUCUGACAAUAUAUUUUAGAAACUCUCAGGAGCUAACCUUCUGGUAAGCUUUGACCAUAACUUCUCUCACUUCUUUCAAGGGUUUUACUUGAUUCUGCAGAGACCAGACCACAGUCACAUCAUAUACAUAAAGUGAUUAUUACAUAAUUAUUAAAAAUGAUAUUUACUCAUGCAACUGCACCUGUAUAUCAGUAAUAGCAUGAUUAGCUUGAAGCUGAAAGAAAGAAUUGCUGAGAAGAUUCUUAAUAUUACCAUUUUCACUCCACAACUGAUUUAGAAGCAUGUUAUUAUAGCUCAAAUGGAAGACCCUUAAGAAUAUAAGAAACAAAACAGUCUAGGUCGAUCAGUGGGUUAAUCAUUUUACAUCUUAUGGAUAUAAUAUAUACUAUCAGAUACUUACUAAUGAACAUAAACAAAAAAAAUUAUCACUUCCUUUGAGAAUCAUAGCAAACAGUGGGUUCCACCUUCUCAUUAUCAGGAUUAUAAUACUACACAAACAAAUUGACAGUCAUUUUUUCUACAAUUUUGAUAGAAUAAGCAAAAGGUAUUUUGGACAGGAAGCUAAAACCUUCGUUCUCAAAAAUAAGAUGUGGCUUUUAGCCUUGCCUCAAUCUUGUUCCACUUUUGAAGAACCCCGCGAGCACCCUGUUAAUUUGUAUUGAGAAAAGCUAUUGAGCCAACCAAUCCAAACAAAAGUCAGAGAAAAAGAGUUGCAUAAAGAGCAAGAAAGUGUUUGUGAAUGUACUACUUACACUUUCUUCGAUGAUGACAGAGCCUUUUAAGUUUUUUUUUCCUCGAGAAAGGGACGGCUCUGCAUAAAUAUCCAUGCUUCUGUAGCACAAAGCUGCUUGAAGUGUUUCAUGAUCAUAUGGUGAGAUAUGACGCUAAGCCGAGGGAAACCACAUAGCAGCGCAAGCUGGAACACAUCAAGUACAUUCUCAGUGUUACGCAAACCAUGUUGUAAAAGACAUCCACAGAGCAUUUCAGCUGACGAACCACGUACGCGUCACGGAGGCAGCAAAUUCAUCAAAAAAAAAGUCAGCUUUAAUCUUUAUUAAGAGAAUGUUAGAAGAAGUGAAGCAAUAUUUUGUACUAAGAGUAAUGGAAACAAAUAAAAACGCAUACCACAGAUUGAUUGAGACUGUAUGCAACUUGCCAUGUCUUUUGGCUUACUUUUGAUAUCACAGUCGAUCCCUGUUAAUUUAAAAACAUAAAAGAGACAGAUUUAGUUUGUAUUCGGUUAAUUAAAGAUCUGAACUACCCAACGAAUAAGUUUUAUAAGUAGGGCUUUACAAUAGUAUUUGCACGAAUUUUUAAAGACGAAGAUAGCAAUAGGAAUUUGAAGAGGUAUUCUAGAGGCUGUACGAACUUGAAUAAGGGAUGAAGAAGGUGGGUUAAGCUGAAAUUAAGAUAUGAAUAAAUAAAGGAUUGGAUGAUUGAGAGUAAAUACUUAAUAGUUAUAACUUCAACGAAACAGAGAGUUGCAGAAAUCAAUCGGCAACACCAUGGAGAAGUGGAAGAGGCAAAACGAUAUCGACGGUCAUUGGGUGAAGAAAGAGAGUUGGGCUUAUGGCUACAACAAAAUAUUAACAGGCCAUACUCAGCCCGUGUAAAUUUUAUGCUGCGUAAAAGAAUGUAUAUGUGGCAAAUAAAAGCUUUUUCAUUGGCCUGAAUAAAAAAUCUGACGUGGCAUGCUGUAUGCUCUGCAUAUUCGGCUUUUAGUAGUGUUAGAUGCAUUCUUUUAACAAAAUGUUUUAGCAAUAGUGUUUCCUAAAAACAUUUUUAUUUAUAUUUAAUUUAUUUGCUCGUGUGGGACAUGGCAUCUCUAAUCCAUUAUUGCACACUGUUAAUUCAUAUUUUCUUGGCCAUAGUUGACCAAAAAAAUUUGAAGCUCACACUUUUUACAUUACUAAGAGAAAAUGAUGUAACUAUGAACUCAAUCUUGAUUACUGGUCUAAUUAGAACGAUAUUUGAAACUCGCACUCUUUAGAGCACCCGCAAUGGUGUUACUCAAAUGGGAGUCCUUAGAAAAAGUGUAUUUUGAUUUUUUAAGUAUUAUUAUUUUUAUUUUUUUUAGAUAAAAAAAUAAAUAUCAACCAAUCAAUCGCGGGUCGCCACGUGUCGUCGGGACCCGCAAAUAGUGCAAGGAUUCACUAAGAAAGAGUCCUUAUUUAGGAAUUUUAAGGAUUGAGUCCUUAGUUUUUGGUGGGAUCUACCGAUUAUUUAAUUAUUUUUUUCUCUAAGGACUCCCCCUUAAGGAUUCCCAUUGCGGAUGUUCUUACAUUAUUAAAAAAAAAAGAUGAAUCUAUAAACUUGAAUCAUGUAUUUUAUGAGUUUAAAUGAGUAAAUAAACAAUAAUAAUAAUCUGGAGGAAAGUUUAUACAAACCUUCAAUUUUGUUUUUGUUGAGAAAUCAAACAUUAGAAAUAGAUGAUUUGGAAUUCAGUAAACCUCAAGAAAAACAAGAUUCAUAUAUGGUAGGUAUAGUAGACCAAAAAUAAGAAGCAUAACCAUUCAAAAACACUAACUUCUUUUAAAUCCGCGCUUAGCGCGGAUUAAGAAUCUAGUUGUAAUUAAAAUCUUAUAUUUUGCGAUUUGUUUAUGUUUAUGCAUCAUACAUGACAACGUUCUGAAAUUUGACAGACUCACAUUUAGGGCCUGACUGGUUCAAACGCAGCGGUUGUGGUUGCGGUUGCGGGAGUUUGUGGAUUCGGGCGGUUGCGGUUUCUAGCGGUUUUAAGAGAUUCGUACGACUGGUACUGCGGUUAAAUAUUGGUGUGUUUACGGGUGACUUAUGACUGGUUAACUACCAAAUGCGGUAACAAUCAAAUAAUAAAUUAACUAUACUUACAUUUAAUAUAAUUAUAAAAAUAUCAAAAAUCAUAAAAUUAUAAUAAAUAUAAAAUUUAUAUUUAGAAAGUUAUAAUUUUAAUUUUUGAAAAUUUAUUGAAAUUGUUUUUAUUAUAAAAUUUUAUAAUAUUAAUUAAAAUAUAAUAGAUAUAUUUUAAUAUUUUCAUAAUUUCAAUUUUAAAUUUUUUAUUAAAUAUUUUUACUUUUGUAUAUAUAUUGUUUUAAAAAAAAAAGAAAAAAAUUGUACCCCUCCCACAACCGCCCGCAACCGCAAACGCUAACUGGAGCCAGCUUUUGAAUUUAUGAGAUUCUGAGCGGUUUGAAACGGUUUAGAGUGAUUUGAGUGAUUGUUACAAACCGCCGACAACCGCUACCAACCGCAAAAGCUGCGUUUGCGGGUGAUAGCGGAAAAACCAGUCGCCCCCUUAAAAGAAAAGAUGCAAACUCAGAAUAACCAGCGGUGGUAGUCCAGUGGUGUUUGAGAGAAAUAAAUCCAAUACGGCAAACCAUGGUUAGAAUCCCGCUGGCCACACGGAUAUGGAUUAUUUCUUUGCUUUCGGCUCAUUUAAAUGCCUAAAAAAAGGUCUAUCCGUUGGUUGUACCUCCAUCUGCUCCAUCUGGAAAUUAGCUCUGUAUCUUUAAUAAACUCGGAUUUAACCCUUUAUUUUAAAAAAAAUGCAGACUCAGAAUAUUGCUUCCAAUUUUUUAAAAAGAUAUCUCAUACAAUCAUUAUAUUAUACAAUAAUAAUCAUAAGAGAUUCAUCGAUCUUUAUUUGUAACUCUUAUUAGGGGAAUACAAUUUGGCAAACAAAAAAAACUCUGAUAAAAAAAACUCUUAUUAGGGGAAAACAAAACAUCUUCGUGAUUUGGAUUUGUAUGACACAUGUUCUUGGAGCCACCACCCAUAUAGAUUUUGAUUUGAAUGACAACCGCCUUACUGUAUAAAGGUCUUAUAAUUAUUUGAGGGUUAUAAACUGGAAAGAUUCGCCGUCAUGCAUGUUGUUGCUUAGCCUAAUCUUCCUUAGUUCUCCAUCGCUGAUAGGCUUGUAUAGACGUGGAUGUUCAGCAUCCACAAAUUCACUUGGAGGCUCAACAACUUCAUCCAUUGGUAUUAAUAGGAAGGUGGAGAUGGUAAUCCUCAUUUUUGCUUCUUUGCAUUGCACUCUAUGCUUCACAUUGCACAGCCUCCCAUUGCUCCAUAUCUUUCGGUUAAAUAUUGGUGUGUUUACGGGUGACUUAUGACUGGUUAACUACCAAAUGCGGUAACAAUCAAAUAAUAAAUUAACUAUACUUACAUUUAAUAUAAUUAUAAAAAUAUCAAAAAUCAUAAAAUUAUAAUAAAUAUAAAAUUUAUAUUUAGAAAGUUAUAAUUUUAAUUUUUGAAACUGCUCCAUCUGGAAAUUAGCUCUGUAUCUUUAAUAAACUCGGAUUUAACCCUUUAUUUUAAAAAAAAUGCAGACUCAGAAUAUUGCUUCCAAUUUUUUAAAAAGAUAUCUCAUACAAUCAUUAUAUUAUACAAUAAUAAUCAUAAGAGAUUCAUCGAUCUUUAUUUGUAACUCUUAUUAGGGGAAUACAAUUUGGCAAACAAAAAAAACUCUGAUAAAAAAAACUCUUAUUAGGGGAAAACAAAACAUCUUCGUGAUUUGGAUUUGUAUGACACAUGUUCUUGGAGCCACCACCCAUAUAGAUUUUGAUUUGAAUGACAACCGCCUUACUGUAUAAAGGUCUUAUAAUUAUUUGAGGGUUAUAAACUGGAAAGAUUCGCCGUCAUGCAUGUUGUUGCUUAGCCUAAUCUUUCUUAGUUCUCCAUCGCUGAUAGGCUUGUAUAGACGUGGAUGUUCAGCAUCCACAAAUUCACUUGGAGGUUCAACAACUUCAUCCAUUGGUAUUAAUAGGAAGGUGGAGAUGGUAAUCCUCAUUUUUGCUUCUUUGCAUUGCACUCUAUGCUUCACAUUGCACAGCCUCCCAUUGCUCCAUAUCUUUUAAGAAAGUUUCAAAAACCAACAGCUAAAACCGAGUUUUUGUGGUUUAAAGUCAAAACAUUAUUG